GAUGAACGCUAGCGGCGUGCCUAACACAUGCAAGUCGAACGUGAGAAAGACUUCGGUCUUUUGAAAGUGGCGGACGGGUGAGUAAGACGUAGGUGACCUGCCUUGAAGUGGGGGAUAACCAUUGGAAACGAUGGCUAAUACCGCAUAAGCUGGUGACGAUGGGAAUCGUUAUCAGGAAAGCUUUAGUGCUUUGAGAGGGGCCUACGGCCGAUUAGCUAGUUGGUGAGGUAAAGGCUCACCAAGGCGAUGAUCGGUAGCUGGUCUGAGAGGACGAUCAGCCACACGGGAACUGAGACACGGUCCCGACUCCUACGGGGGGCAGCAGUGAGGAAUAUUCGGCAAUGGGGGGGAACCCUGACCGAGCAACGCCGCGUGGAGGAUGACGGUUUUCGGAUUGUAAACUCCUUUUCUCAGGGAAGAGCGAGGACGGUACCUGGGGAAUAAGUCACGGCUAACUACGUGCCAGCAGCCGCGGUAAGGCACGACUGU
RNAcentral lists this ribosomal RNA (489 nucleotides) under uncultured bacterium. RNAcentral's name for it is "bacterial SSU rRNA". It matches the Rfam family "Bacterial small subunit ribosomal RNA", at positions 28 to 532 of the family's 1533-position model. The record is from RNAcentral.